Molecule: ribosomal RNA, 226 nt
Filed under: uncultured bacterium
Lineage: Bacteria
Description: partial 16S ribosomal RNA
Rfam family: Bacterial small subunit ribosomal RNA
Source: RNAcentral
CGAACGGGUGAGUAACGCGUGGGAACCUGUCGCUGAGUGGGGGAUACCACGGGGAAACCCGUGCUAAUACCGCAUGUGGUCACAGCAAUGUGAAGAAAGCAGCAAUGCGCUCGGUGAGGGGCCCGCGUCCGAUUAGCUUGUUGGUGGGGUAACGGCCUACCAAGGCGACGAUCGGUAGCUGGUCUGAGAGGAUGGUCAGCCACACUGGGACUGAGACACGGCCCAG